Non-coding RNA from Otolemur garnettii (small-eared galago), 194 nucleotides. The record is from Rfam. Lineage: Eukaryota; Metazoa; Chordata; Mammalia; Primates; Galagidae.
CUUCGUGGGCGGAGCGCGGCCCCACCCCCACCCCCCGAAGCCUUCUCCAUGGCCCAGGUCUGGGUGCCGAGCUCCCACAGCAUCAAGCAGGAAGCUGCGGCUCCGUAGAGUUCGGACCGCUCUCUGCGGGUACUGAGUAAGCCUUUCCCGGCCCACAGCCAGAACCGACCCCUAGCCGAGGACGUCCGCGAGAG